RNAcentral lists this ribosomal RNA (492 nucleotides) under uncultured bacterium. RNAcentral's name for it is "partial 16S ribosomal RNA". It matches the Rfam family "Bacterial small subunit ribosomal RNA", at positions 29 to 507 of the family's 1533-position model. The record is from RNAcentral.
AGUGAACGCUGGCGGUAGGCCUAACACAUGCAAGUCGAACGGCAGCACAGUAAGAGCUUGCUCUUACGGGUGGCGAGUGGCGGACGGGUGAGGCAUACAUCGGAAUCUACUUUUUCGUGGGGGAUAACGUAGGGAAACUUACGCUAAUACCGCAUACGACCUACGGGUGAAAGCAGGGGAUCUUCGGACCUUGCGCGAUUGAAUGAGCCGAUGUCGGAUUAGCUAGUUGGCGGGGUAAAGGCCCACCAAGGCGACGAUCCGUAGCUGGUCUGAGAGGAUGAUCAGCCACACUGGAACUGAGACACGGUCCAGACUCCUACGGGAGGCAGCAGUGGGGAAUAUUGGACAAUGGGCGCAAGCCUGAUCCAGCCAUACCGCGUGAGUGAAGAAGGCCUUCGGGUUGUAAAGCCCUUUUGUUGGGAAAGAAAAUCAGCAUGUUAAUACCCCGCUGUUCUGACGGUACCCAAAAAAUAAGCACCGGCUAACUUCGUG